AUUGAACGCUGGCGGAAUGCUUUACACAUGCAAGUCGAACGGCAGCACGGACUUCGGUCUGGUGGCGAGUGGCGAACGGGUGAGUAAUACAUCGGAACGUGCCCAGUCGUGGGGGAUAACGUAGCGAAAGCUACGCUAAUACCGCAUACGAUCUAAGGAUGAAAGCGGGGGAUCGCAAGACCUCGCGCGAUUGGAGCGGCCGAUGGAGGAUUAGGUAGUUGGUAGGGUAAAGGCCUACCAAGCCGACGAUCUGUAGCUGGUCUGAGAGGACGACCAGCCACACUGGGACUGAGACACGGCCCAGACUCCUACGGGAGGCAGCAGUGGGGAAUUUUGGACAAUGGACGCAAGUCUGAUCCAGCCAUUCCGCGUGCAGGAUGAAGGCCCUCGGGUUGUAAACUGCUUUUGUACAGAACGAAAAGGCUCUGGUUAAUACCUGGAGCUCAUGACGGUACUGUAAGAAUAAGCACCGGCUAACUACGUGCCAGCCGCCGCGGUAA
This 500-nucleotide ribosomal RNA is filed under the name uncultured bacterium. RNAcentral describes it as "partial 16S ribosomal RNA". It matches the Rfam family "Bacterial small subunit ribosomal RNA", at positions 30 to 523 of the family's 1533-position model. The record is from RNAcentral.